RNAcentral lists this ribosomal RNA (491 nucleotides) under uncultured bacterium. RNAcentral's name for it is "partial 16S ribosomal RNA". It matches the Rfam family "Bacterial small subunit ribosomal RNA", at positions 355 to 839 of the family's 1533-position model. The record is from RNAcentral.
UGGGGAAUUUUGGACAAUGGGCGAAAGCCUGAUCCAGCAAUGCCGCGUGUGUGAAGAAGGCCUUCGGGUUGUAAAGCACUUUUGUCCGGAAAGAAAUCCUUGGCUCUAAUACAGUCGGGGGAUGACGGUACCGGAAGAAUAAGCACCGGCUAACUACGUGCCAGCAGCCGCGGUAAUACGUAGGGUGCAAGCGUUAAUCGGAAUUACUGGGCGUAAAGCGUGCGCAGGCGGUUUGCUAAGACCGAUGUGAAAUCCCGGGCUCAACCUGGGAACUGCAUUGGUGACUGGGCAGGCUAGAGUAUGGCAGAGGGGGGUAGAAUUCCACGUGUAGCAGUGAAAUGCGUAGAGAUGUGGAGGAAUACCGAUGGCGAAGGCAGCCCCCUGGGCCAAUACUGACGCUCAUGCACGAAAGCGUGGGGAGCAAACAGGAUUAGAUACCCUGGUAGUCCACGCCCUAAACGAUGUCAACUAGUUGUUGGGGAUUCAUUUCC